UACGUAGGGUGCGAGCGUUAAUCGGAAUUACUGGGCGUAAAGCGUGCGCAGGCGGUUCGUUGUGUCGGCGGUGAAAGCCCCGGGCUUAACCUGGGAAUGGCCGUUGAAACUGGCGAACUGGAGUGUGGCAGAGGAGAGUGGAAUUCCCAGUGUAGAGGUGAAAUUCGUAGAUAUUGGGAAGAACACCGGUGGCGAAGGCGGCUCUCUGGACCGAUACUGACGCUGAGGCGCGAAAGCGUGGGGAGCAAACAGG
This 253-nucleotide ribosomal RNA is filed under the name uncultured bacterium. RNAcentral describes it as "partial 16S ribosomal RNA". It matches the Rfam family "Bacterial small subunit ribosomal RNA", at positions 524 to 776 of the family's 1533-position model. The record is from RNAcentral.